AGAGUUUGAUCCUGGCUCAGGAUGAACGCUAGCUACAGGCUUAACACAUGCAAGUCGAGGGGAAACGACAUCGAAAGCUUGCUUUUGAUGGGCGUCGACCGGCGCACGGGUGAGUAACGCGUAUCCAACCUGCCCACCACUUGGGGAUAACCUUGCGAAAGUAAGACUAAUACCCAAUGAUAUCUCUAGAAGACAUCUGAAAGAGAUUAAAGAUUUAUCGGUGAUGGAUGGGGAUGCGUCUGAUUAGCUUGUUGGCGGGGUAACGCCCACAAGGCGACGAUCGAGUAGGGGUUCUGAGAGGAAGGUCCCCCANAUUGGAACUGAGACACGGUCCAAACUCCGUACGGGAGGCAC
RNAcentral lists this ribosomal RNA (354 nucleotides) under uncultured bacterium. RNAcentral's name for it is "bacterial SSU rRNA". It matches the Rfam family "Bacterial small subunit ribosomal RNA", at positions 8 to 351 of the family's 1533-position model. The record is from RNAcentral.